Molecule: ribosomal RNA, 1130 nt
Filed under: Lagria sp. NLG-2012
Lineage: Eukaryota; Metazoa; Arthropoda; Insecta; Coleoptera; Tenebrionidae
Description: partial 16S ribosomal RNA
Source: RNAcentral
UUCUUUAAAAUUAAAAGAUUUGGCGGUAUUUUAGUCUGUUCAGAGGAAAUAGUUAUUUAAUUGAUAAUCCACGAUAAUUUUUACUUUAAUUUUUAAUUUAUAUAUCGUCGUUUAUAAAAAAUUUUAUUAAAUAAUUUUUUCAGAUCAAGGUGUAGUUUAUAUUAGAGUUAUAAUGGGUUACAUUAGAAUAGAAGAAUAAAAUGGAUUUGGGAGUAAGCUCUAAAAUAUGUACAUAUCGCCCGUCGCUUUCAUUUAAGGUGGAAUAAGUCGUAACAAAGUAGGCUUAUUGGAAAAUGAGCCUGGAAUGCAAGUUAGAGCUUGUUAAGCAAUUUAUUUACAUUAAGGAGUUGACUGUGAAAUUCAGUUUUACUUGAAAGUUUAGGUUUACUUGUUUUUUUGAUUUUAUUUUUUUAUUGGAAGUAUAUUUAUUUUUAUUAUUAUUUUGAAUAAAUUUUGUUAUAGUUUAUUAGUACUGUGAAGGUUGAUUUUAUUUUAAAGAAAAUUUAUAUUAUUGUACCUUGUGUAUCAGGGUUAAUUAAUUUAUUUUUCCCGAAUUUUAAAGAGUUAUUUUUAAUGUUGAAUUAUUAUUUAUGAUUUAUAAAUAGAAAUGAAAUGUUAUUCGAUUUUUAAUAUAUCUGGUUUACAAAGACAAUGAUUUAAUUAUGUGUAGGUUAAUAUAAUUAUUAAGGGAUAAGCUUUUUACUAGGUUAUUAUAAAUCAAUAUUUAUUAGUAUUUUAUAGGAUUAGAAUUUUUCAUUUUUAAUAUUAUGUUGUAAAUUUUUAAUUUUUUUAUUUGUAAAUUAAAUUUAUUAUAGAUUUUUAUGUUAUUAUGAUUAAAUUAGUAAGGUUAUAAAUAGGAAUUCGGCAAAUAUAAUUUUCACCUGUUUAUUAAAAACAUGUCCUUUAGUUUAUUUUAAGGUCAGGCCUGCCCAAUGAUUAAAUGGCCGCAGUAUUUUGACUGUGCAAAGGUAGCAUAAUCAUUAGUUUCUUAAUUGGAAGCUGGAAUGAAGGGUUUAAUGAAAAAUUAACUGUCUUUAGAAUUUUAUUUUUGAGUUAAAAAGCUUAAAUUUUUUAUAAAGACGAGAAGACCCUAUAGAGUUUGGAUUAAUAUAAUUUUAAUUUUUUUUGUA